GACGAACCGUGCGAACGUUGUUCGGAAUCACUGGGCUUAAAGGGCGCGUAGGCGGGCUGGUCGGUCAGGGGUGAAAUCCUCCGGCUUAACCGGAGAACAGCCUUUGAUACCGCCAGUCUCGAGGGAGGUAGGGGCAUGUGGAACUUCCGGUGGAGCGGUGAAAUGCGUAGAUAUCGGAAGGAACGCCGGUGGCGAAAGCGACGUGCUGGACCUCUUCUGACGCUGAGGCGCGAAAGCUAGGGGAGCAAACGGG
Molecule: ribosomal RNA, 253 nt
Filed under: uncultured bacterium
Lineage: Bacteria
Description: partial 16S ribosomal RNA
Rfam family: Bacterial small subunit ribosomal RNA
Source: RNAcentral